GCCCUUUUAGCUCAGUUGGCCAGAGCGGCUCAUUUGUAACGAGCGGGUCGGGAGUUCGAAUCUCUCAAGGGGCU
Molecule: transfer RNA, 74 nt
Filed under: Planctomycetota bacterium
Lineage: Bacteria; Pseudomonadati; Planctomycetota
Description: Planctomycetes bacterium tRNA-Thr
Rfam family: tRNA
About the family: Transfer RNA (tRNA) molecules are approximately 80 nucleotides in length. Their secondary structure includes four short double-helical elements and three loops (D, anti-codon, and T loops). Further hydrogen bonds mediate the characteristic L-shaped molecular structure. tRNAs have two regions of fundamental functional importance: the anti-codon, which is responsible for specific mRNA codon recognition, and the 3' end, to which the tRNAs corresponding amino acid is attached (by aminoacyl-tRNA synthetases). tRNAs cope with the degeneracy of the genetic code in two manners: having more than one tRNA (with a specific anti-codon) for a particular amino acid; and 'wobble' base-pairing, i.e. permitting non-standard base-pairing at the 3rd anti-codon position.
Source: RNAcentral